RNAcentral lists this unclassified non-coding RNA (1027 nucleotides) under Hevea brasiliensis (rubber tree). The record is from RNAcentral. Lineage: Eukaryota; Viridiplantae; Streptophyta; Magnoliopsida; Malpighiales; Euphorbiaceae.
CAGAACUAGAGAUUCACAGGGAUAGGAAAAAAUUUGAAUUAAAAAUAUGCUUUCAAAAACCACAUCAAUGUAAAUACAUCUCCUUUUUUUCACCUUAAGUAGAACAGAAUAUAUUCCAAAAGCUACACAGUUAAAUACUUUUUAUGCUCCAUUUCAAAACUCCAAUAAAUAUUGAGAUGGAACUAAAGAGUAAGGUAAAGCAUGAUAAGUUCACCUUCACCUGUUCACGCUGCCACUAUCCUUUAGUAAAUGAAUCCCCCCACACAGCUUUUGAUUGCACCAUUGUAUAUUAUUUAGGGCCUUUUAGUAUCUAUGCUGUUCUUGGUUGUAGUCAUCCAAUAGUAAAAAAUUGUAUUUAUGGGGGAAAGGUUGAUAAAAACAAGUUAAAAAUAAAUUGAGGUUUUCACUUGCUGUAAUAUUUUUCCCUUUUAUACAUAAAGUCAAAUGCAAACAUAUUUUAAUAAUAUAUCUUGUAAACAACAGUAACUAAAAAACAAAUAUAGUAUGAAUUCCAAAUAGGCCCUUAUGACCCAGCAGUCAAAAGAUAAAUGGCCAAAUGAACAUUUGAGGCUUUUUCUCCUUUUUCUGACAUAAUAAUUUGAACGCCUGCAUAGAUACCAAAACUUCAUCAUUUUAAACACCCAUAUCCUAUAGUGUAGUAAUAAUUAAUAAGCCUCUAUAUGUACCAUUUGGUUACCAAGAAUGAAAGAGUGGCAAUAGGAAUAAAGUCUCAGCGCCAUUCCCAGUUUCUAAUAUCUAAAUAUAAAGUAAUAAAAAGGCCUAUUUCAUCUCAUUUCUUCAUUCUUUGAUUCUAAUUCCUGGUCUUUCAUUUCCAGUGACCAAACAGCACUUAAAUGCUUUACACUCAUUCAAAAGAAAUAUCAUGCAAAAAACUUCAAAUUUAUGUAGUUAUUUGUGGAAUGAAUUCUAUAGUGCAUGAUAUUUGUGAGGCAUACAAGCAGUGGGGAGAGGAUGUACAAGAGACAGGAUAAAAAGAGAGGUCAACUGAGUGGAAGGGGGUCACAUG